Molecule: long non-coding RNA, 561 nt
Filed under: Lepisosteus oculatus (spotted gar)
Lineage: Eukaryota; Metazoa; Chordata; Actinopteri; Semionotiformes; Lepisosteidae
Description: lncRNA (ENSLOCG00000021831.1)
Source: RNAcentral
AGUGUGUCUGUAUGAACCCCUCUCUCUCAGUGCAGUGUUAAUGUACUGGAGUGUCCAGUCAGUCAGUGUGUCUGUAUGAACCCCUCUCUCUCAGAAUACCCUGGUGAUAGACACGCCUCGUGUCAGGAAGCAGACUCGACAGUUCAGCUCUCUGCGGGAGGACGACAUCGUGGAGUUCUCCGACCUGGACAGCGAGGAAGAGGAGCGCCCGCGGUCUCGGCGUUCCGACCGGCACCACGGCUACGGGCGCACGGACUGCUUCCGGGUCGAGAAGCACCUGCUGGUCUACGGGUGGGGGCGCUGGCGGGACAUCCUGUCCCACGCGCGGUUCAAGCGCCGGCUGUCGGAGCGCGACGUGGAGACCAUCUGCCGCGUGAUCCUGGUGUACUGCCUGCUGCACUACCGCGGCGACGAGAACAUCAAGAGCUUCAUCUGGGAGCUCAUCACGCCCCCGGAGAACGGGCGGACACGCGCCCUGCACAACCACUCCGGUCAGUCCGCCCCUCUGUCUCUCCCUCCCUCUCCGGUCAGUCUCUCUCCCUCUCCCUCUCCGGUCAGUCU